CGCGUGAGGGAAGAAGCCUACUGGGUUGUAAACCUCUUUUUUCAGGGAGGAAAAAAAUGACGUGUACCUGAAGAAUAAGCAUCGGCUAACUCCGUGCCAGCAGCCGCGGUAAGACGGAGGAUGCAAGUGUUAUCCGGAAUUACUGGGCGUAAAGCGUCUGUAGGUGGUUUAAUAAGUCAACUGUUAAAUCUUGAGGCUUAACUUCAAAACAGCAGUCGAAACUAUUAGACUAGAGUAUAGUAGGGGUAAAGGGAAUUUCCAGUGGAGCGGUGAAAUGCGUANAUAUUGGAAAGAACACCGAUGGCGAAAGCACUUUACUGGGCUAUUACUAACACUCANAGACAAAAGCUAGGGUAGCAAAAGGGAUU
RNAcentral lists this ribosomal RNA (368 nucleotides) under uncultured cyanobacterium. Its description in RNAcentral is "bacterial SSU rRNA". It matches the Rfam family "Bacterial small subunit ribosomal RNA", at positions 398 to 779 of the family's 1533-position model. Lineage: Bacteria; Bacillati; Cyanobacteriota. The record is from RNAcentral.